Long non-coding RNA from Eupeodes corollae, 11301 nucleotides. RefSeq lists it as uncharacterized. The record is from RefSeq and is a predicted model, not a curated record. The transcript has 4 exons. NCBI's taxonomy places the organism in Eukaryota, Metazoa, Arthropoda, Insecta, Diptera, Syrphidae.
UCUCACCUCAGCUAUUAUUUUAAAUAUUUUUCCUCUUUAUGGAUUUAUCUGCUUUCUUUCUUCACUGAACAUAUAUUAGUCGUUACAAAAAAACUUAUACAAAAAAACCUAUUUCCUUUUUUUUCUUAAGUUUUUUUUUUUUUUUUUUUUUUUACUUCUUUUGUUUUAUGCCACUUUUAAAUUUAAAUACAUAGAUGCUUUCGUCACCCACUCUGAACUACAAAUGACUUCUAGUCAAGUUCCUUUAGCGGUUACGAUCUUCAAUUACCGCAUAGAUUAUUAUUUCCCGCAAUGUUCACAAAACUACUCUUUCAGCAUCGUCUGGACCCUUGCUUUAAAGCUUAAUUUCACUCCUAUCUAAUCCUUUCUUAUUUUCCCCACCUUUCCCAAUUCGCAUAAACUUUUCAUUAAAUAUUUAAUAUUAAGGGUAUUGUUGUUUCUUUCAUACCUAUAAACAUAUAUCCGUCGCUUCUGCAAUUUCUUCGUCCUCCUUUUAUACCAUCUUCUUAAUCCCUAUUCUUUACUUCUGUCUCUUUUUCAUGACAUAUGUCUAUUUCGUCCCUAAUUGUCAUGUCAGAUUGUCAGUGAUUCGAAUUACGAAAUAGAAGUUGCGUGCGCCGCGCCGGUAAAUAAAUAAACAUAAAAAAACAAGUAUUAGGAAAAACACAAAACUAAAAAUAAAUUAACUAAUUGCACUGGAUGCAAACCAGAGUCACUAGGAAUAGUGACUAACCUAGGACAACUUUGGCCUAUCGGUGGCCACAACAAAACUCCGGCAUCAGAAGUGCCGAUAUUUUCACAAGGAUGACGGUGAAGGCCGACGGCUGGUCGUAUCGAUUUAAUUGUGAAGGACCUAUGGCAAUCUCUAAUACGAGUGCCAUUGCAUGUGGUGAAGGGCCUCUGCUUAAGCCGGGCGGAGCAAAUGCAUUUCCUCCUUGUUGGUUUUGAGUGGGGAAGAACCCACACUGUUUGAGCCGGGCGGAAGAAAUAUGAGUCUUUCAAGCUGGUAUCAGGUGGGGAAGAACCCUCGACCAUUCAGCCGGGCAAAACAAUGCUACAAGUAAAUUUUAGAAAUGAUUUAAACAUAAAUUUAAAUUCUUGGUACAGAGUAAGUCCAUAUUCAUUUUGUUAUUGAUAUUUGCAUGAAUUUAUAAUUUACUCGUUAGUUUGUUUUUUUUUUUUUUUUGGUGUAUCUACCUACUAUUCGGAUACGGGAUGUUUGAUUUCUUUAAAAAGAAGUAGUAGGUAUCAUAUGUACAUACUAUAUCUAUAAAAUCUAUAAAAUAUUUAUCAAAUCAGUUGUUGUUUUAUUGUAAGAGUUGAUGUACUUGGGCACAAUUUCAAAAAAAAAUGUAUAUACAUAUGUAUAUAGUUUCUGUGUUGUUAUAGGUAGUCAUUUAGUCCACAUUAAAGCGAUUGUUUCUUGUCGAUGUCCUGGUUGUAUUUACUACUAAUUCAACAACAUUCGUAUUGUAGAAUAAAGACUCCAAUGACUUACGUCAAUCUCUGGAUUGUACAAGUUAAUAUUGCUAAGUUUGGUUAUUGCUUAAAUUGUUUAUAUACUAACUUAAGCUAUAAUUAAAAUAUCACAGAUUGGAAUUACUUAUAUCUAGGUUAUCACAGUUGUUGAGUCAGUCGAGAUGUUUUUUUGUUUUCGUUUACUCGAAAUGAAAAAUAUCACAGAUGUUUGCCCAGGUUGUUAAGGAGCUUAACGAAUUACGACGGCAUUAAAUACAAUCUUUUUUUUUCAGUUUUCAUGCUUUGUACCUACUUUCGAUCACAGAUGGUUUGUCAUUUCUUGUCCUAUAUUCUAUAUCACAGUUGUUCGUUUCGUCUAUCAUAUCACAGGUUUAUAAAUAUUGGUCAUAAGACUCAUUUGAUUGUUUCGCUUCCAUUGUCUAUAAUUUGCCUCUUACAUUCUAUGUUUAUGUGUCCUGCAAAAACAAACUCAACAGUUAUCUAUUGUUUGAGAUCUUUCGCAUGAAAGAUCCCAAUCUUUUUCCCAACUAGGUUCUCCAGCUCGUACAUGCUUUUUCCUACGGGUUUGACAAUUCGACAUUUAACAUAUUUAGGACAAAGUUUAGACGAUAAAAGUUUCGAGGAGUCACUUAGUAUGAAGUUUCGUUUGUAAACCUCUUGACCAGGCAAGUAUCGGACAUUUCGAGACCUGGUGUUGUACGUUUUCCUCCCCUUCUCGUUAGCUAUUGUUAUAUUUUCUUUCAGCUUAGCACGUAUUAAGUGCAAUCGCUCUUGCCGCGGUAAGGUCGCCAACUCGCCAUCCUCAAGGACGUUUAACUUUUGUGCCAGUGCAUAUCCGCUCGCGUGUGUCAUCAUAUUUGUUCCAAAAAGAGCAAAGUAUGGUGAGACACCGAUGGCUGAAUGCACUGAACUCCUUAAGGCACAUGCGAUGUCGCUCAAGUGGCUAUCCCAAUCGCGCUGAUCUUCUUUCAGAUAGGAACGUAUGGCGGCUAAUAACGUACGGUUGACUCUCUCGGAAGCGUUAGAUUGUGGCGAGUAGUUUGCUGUUUUGAAAUGACGUAUUCCAUAUUUUUCCAAAAAACUUUGAAAUUCCUUUGACACAAACUGUUUUCCAUUAUCGGAAUGUAAAAUUUGUGGAACGCCAUAUGCAUUAAAUAUGUCGUUUCGCAAGUAAGUUAUUAUGUUACUUGACGUUGCUGAACGAAGCGGCUUUAGGAAUACAAAUUUAGACAUAUGAUCUAGUACAACAAAAACAUACACAUUUCCUGCUUUUGACCUAGGGUAUGGACCAAUAAAAUCAACAUAUAACUUCUGAAACGGACGGUCGGUGACAUAACCAUUCUCAAUAGGUGGACGUUGGACUUGACUUGAAGACUUAGACUUUUUACACGUUUCACAAUUACUUACAAACUGUCGAAUUUGUACUGUCAUGUUAGGCCAGUAAAAAUACUGUCGUACACGGUACAAUGUUUUCGCCAUUCCACCAUGGGCGGCUUUCGGUGGGUUAUGGGCAUUAGCAAUCAAAUUUUCGGUUAAGGUUGCCGGUACCCAUAACCGCCAAGAGUUCUCUACUAAUAGAUUUUCGCUAUUAAUAGGGAAGGUUCGUUUGUAUACAAAUGAAUCUACUAUCUUAACGUCGGGUAAUUCUUUUUCAUGCUCUCGUACGGUAUCUAUGAGGUUUUUGUACUCCUCUGAUUUAAAUUCGUCGGAUUCUAAAUCUAUCCAGGGAAUUAUUUCGCCCAUGUCCAAGCUAUCCAAGUGUGCUCGAGAAAGAGUGUCUGGCACGACAUUCAGCGAUCCUUUUCGGUGCUCUAUGUCGAAGGUAUAUGAUUGCAACUCAAGAGACCAUCUAGCCAAUCUACCACUGAGAUCUUUCAUGGUCAUUAACCAUUUUAAGCUAGAGUGAUCAGUUAUGAUGGUGAAAUCCAUACCUUCAACAUAAGGUCUGAACUUUUUCACUGCCAUCACCGCGGCCAUACAUUCCUUCUCGGUCACACUAUAGUUUCGCUGGCAUGAGUUAAGUUUUUGGGAAAAAUAAGAAAUAGGACUCUCUUCAUCAGCCUCUCCCUUCUGAAAAAGAACGGCCCCGAUUCCGGAAUCGGAAGCAUCACAUUGAACAUAAAAUCGUUUCGAGAAAUCUGGGUGUGUCAGCACCGGAGCUGUCGUAAGAGCUCUUUUCAAAUUUUCGAACGCGACUUUAGCUUCAUCUGUCAUGACAAACUUCGCGUUCUUUUUCUUGAGAGUAUCCGUCAAGGGAGCUGUUAAGUUUGAAAAGUCUCUUAUAAAACGCCUAUACCAUCCGGCCAACCCAAGUAACCUUCUCACCUGCCUAGCAUUUUUCGGUAUAGGAAAGUCAACUACAGCCUCUAUUUUUGCCGGAUCUGUUUUUAAUUUUCCACCACCAACAAUGAAACCCAAGUACUUCAGUUCUUUAAAACAAAACUUGGACUUCUUGACAUUGAUAGUGAGAUUAGCCUUUCUGAGACAAUCGGCUACUUCUUCUAACAGUGCAACAUGUGUUUCAAAGUCUGGCGCGAUAAUUAACAGAUCAUCUAAGUAAACAAAUACGCGAUCUCUAAGUCGGCUCGGGAUGACUUUAUCCAUUAGUCUGCACAACCUUUGGGCAGCAUUACACAACCCGAAAGGCAUCACCGUAAACUGGUACAGAGGUCUUCCCGGUACCGCAAACGCUGUUUUCUCUCUGCUAUCUUUCUCCAGUGGUAUCUGCCAGAAUGCUUCUUUCAGAUCUACACUACUGAUGUAGUAAGUAUCUGGAAGACGACUGAUCAGACCUUCGAUACUGGGAAGAGGAUUGGCGUCCUUUUUGCUCACCGAGUUGACCUUACGGGAAUCCAGGCAAAACCGGUAUUUUACGGUACCAUUUGGACCUGGUUUCUUUAUAAGAACAACUGGUGAACACCAUGGACUUUCACUCUCUUCAAUAACUCCAAUCUUAAGCAUCCUGUCGAUCUCCUGGUACAACACGGCUUGGACCACUGGAGAAACAGGAUAGUGCCUCUGCUUAAUCGGUACCGCGUCCCCGGUAUCAAUAACGUGCUCCAUGAGCGUCGUCUUCCCGAGACCGUGCCGAUCGUAAUCUAAAAAUUUUUGCUUUACCGUUUCCAAUACCGAUCGCUGUUCCAAUGAAAGUUCAUGAGCAUUCAUCAAAUCAGCGUCCUGUUCUAGAACCGAAACAGAACUUAAAAUGUUCGGAGCGAUCUGGAACGCCUUCCAAAAGUCCACUCCUAAAUACAAUUCUUGGUCUAGAUUGGGAACUAGGUAUAAGGUGACAUUUUGUUCUACAUUCCUGUACUGGAUUAACACAUUUAUUUUCCCUAUUAUUUUCUGACUUUGACCGUCAGCUGUUUUAACGCCCGAACUGUACGGUUGUUGUCGUAUUUUUAAAUCUUUUAUAAACUUAAGACAAUUUUUUCCUAAGAUACUUAUACUGGCCCCGCUGUCCAAGAGUCCGGUUAUCUCUCGGUCACAUAUUUUUACCUUCGCGUAAGGCCUAGGGUCAGUUUGGGUAUCAAUGACAGUUGACGCGAUUUUAUGCCGAGUUUGUUUUCUUAUUUCAUAUCUCGAUCUCGCUUUCUUAAUUCUGCUGGAUAUUUCGCUAACUCUUCCUUGAAAAAUUUUAUCUCUCGCCUCAUAAUAUUCUUUUAACCUAACGUGUAAUGGUUUUAUUUCUCUUUUGUUUCCUGGUUUCUUCUCUAAUUCAACAUCUUUCUUUUUUUCUCUAGCUAAAAUUGUAAUUCUUGUCUCAUCAAUAUUGGAUUUUGAAUAGUCAUUCUCUAAAGGUUUGUCUGGGGUGUCUGAGUCGAACGCGACUCCCCCGGAGUUGUCGCGUUCCGAUGGCGGUUUUCCGGAUUACACCGAGGACAUUUGGGAGUGAUAACACCAUCAAGCCCACACCUGUAACAAAAUAUAUUUCUUUUGUUGGAAGGACAGUCCACGAAAGAGUGACCUUGGAUCCGACAGUUCCAACACUCUCCGGCCCUGCCUUCACCUUGGCCUACUGAAGUUUUCGGUCGAGCUCCCGAACGCUGAAAAGCAUCUACGUGCUCACCUACUGAUGAAACCACUUCUGGAUCCGCAACAACAUCUAACUCAUUUGCUACGAACCGAUGUGGAGCUCUAUUCGGUUUUUGACCUUCUCGGUCCUUUUUCGGAAAAGCGUACUCCGCCUCCUUACAAGCCAUCCUCAGUUGGUCCAUUGAGAAAAUGGUUUGAGGAUAUACUAACGGCUCCAAUCGUUCGUUCAGGUUUCUCUUAAUCAUUCUUACCAGCUGAUUUUCGGGGAUCUGGACUUUUAAUUGAGACCGUAAACGAGUUAUCGCCGCAAAAUAGUCGUCGCUUGACUCCCAGUUGCCUUGCUUACGAUCCCUUAUUUCACCAGUUAUCUCGAUAUCCGAUUUGGAACUCUCGAACUGACGUAUUAAGGCAUCACGUAGCAUCGGCCAAUCUGGCUGUCCAUUUGAGCGAAGAUACCACCAGUACCAUUCACUCGCAGCCCCCGAGAGUAAGAGAUGAAAGUCUCUUAGAAUCUCAGCCCAUGCACACCUAUACUUAUCUUGUAGCAUCUCGACUCUGAAUACAAACUCUUCUACUCUAGGGUCAGCGGACUUCCCGUCAAACUGUAGCUUCCACUUGUCCAACCGGAUGGGCGUUUUCAUCACCGGUGGUGGAUAUACCGGAGGAGGGUUGAAGUAGAGAGGCUGAGGGUAUCUCGGCGUGAACCCAUUUGGUUCCUGGUAUGGGUUUGGAUGGGACAUGCCGUUUGCCUCAGACGUACUAACAGGACCUUGGUUCACACUCCGAUCCCUUGUAGUAUACGACGGCCUCGGAUACUGAUCGGCACUGAAAUUAUUAAGCUGAUCGUUCGACUGACGCGUUUGCCCACCAGAAUCCCCUAUCAAAUUCUGAACUCUUCCUCCCCCAGUUGGUGGACCAGGUUGAGUUGGGUUUGUUUCUUUCAAAAGAUCUAAAAACUGUUUCCUUAUUUCAUUUCUUAGCGAUUCGGUUAGUUGCCUACUAAGUGUAUUGUUGUAAGACGCACACGCGUCACCUACGGCCUGAUUAAUCGCCGACCUAACUUCUUCAGUGAUUCCAGAGUUAAUGGCUACUUGAGCCCCCGCGGCAUGAUUGUUCGAUUGACCCCCGCUAUCGGAUGACCUUGCCAUACCGUUGACCCAAUUUGACGGCUCCGGUGAUAAUCCUCCAGGUGGAGUCAAAUUACUAUACGAAGGUGCCGAUAAUGUAUCGAUCACACUUCUCCCAUCCCCCGAAUCUAAACCUACUAAACCUCCCUCAAUUGGGUUUGCACCUUCGGUUAGUAAUAAACCCUUUGACCGACCUUGUAUUUCCUGGGGAUGAUGGUCUUUAUUUCUAGCGAUAUUGUCAAUAGGUCCUACCCCAAUAGGUUUAGUUGCAGGUACUUCUUCAUUCGGAGAGUUUCCCAACCUUGGACCAGACUUGUCCUUAGGAGAGUGCUGAACUCGAGACAUCUCGGACGGAACUUGUAAAAUCUUUUCACGUAAGGAGCGGGUCUCGCACAACAAAAACAAAAACUAUACAACUAUACACUAGACGCUAUACAACAAAACCCUAACCUAAGAUACAAUUAUUCCUAUAAUCUAUAAACAAAAAAAAAAUAAAACCUAAAACUAUAAUUGUGUACAAAAAAAAAAUGAAUUUGCUAUAACUAUUCUAUAAAAUCUAAUUCUAAGCUAAAUUAUUCAAAAAAAAUGUAAAAAAAAUAUAUUUAUGUAAAUCCUUUAAAAUCUACAACCCUAUUCUAAUACACUAAGCCUAACUAAUCUAAGUAACACUACAAAUAUCUAUCAACUAAAUGUGGUACUUAACUUACUAAUAUUUAUAUUUAUCUUUUUAAUCUACCGAUACCUAUAUCUAAAAAAAAAAAAACUAUACCUAUGUCUUUUUUUUUUGUUUUGGAUUUUUCUUUUAAUUUGUUUUAUAUAUUUUUUUUGACUGUAUUUUAUUUUUUUUUGUAUGUAUUUAACUAUUCUACCUAAACCUUAAAUUCUUAAUUGCUAGUUAAAACGAAACUGAUUAAUUUAAAAAAAAAACUUAAUUCUAAAAAACCGAAAUAAAAAUUGAAAUUAAACAAAACGAAAAGAAACAAAAAAUAUAUAAGUUUACGCCGAUACAGAUUUUAAACUGAUAGAAAAAUUUGUAUACAUUAAUAACUUAAACCUAUCGUAAUUACUAUAUUACUAUUACUAUACACCUAAACUGAUAAAAGAAAAAAAACUUCAUGUUAAAAACGUAAAUAAAAUUGAAAUAAAAAAAAUAUAUGUAUGUAUGUAUGUAUCGAUUAUAAACUGAAGGAAAAUUUGUAAAACAUCAAUACUUAAACCACUUGUAAUAGAAAAGCUAAAAAAAAAUGUAUCACUAUCUGACACCGCGAACGUUGAACACUAUUAAGACUGAACGAAAGACUUCUACAGAUUGAUAAAAUAAAAUUUUUGCAAAAAAUUCAAAUUAUUCAUAAAACAAUUCGGAGGUGUUUCAGGCGGAUUCUUCAGUUACUUCUCUUUUUCUUCGUACAUGGGACACUAACGAACUUCGCUUCACUUCCUAAUCUCACUUUAUGUUCCCGAGAAAUGUCCAACAUACAACUUACACUCAUUCACACCGCUCAAUCACUACCAUGAACACACACACAACAUUCUUUAAUUAUAAAAAGCCUGUUUUUAUUUUUGCUUUUUGGGGUUCUUACCUCCUCGUCGCAAUUGGGUGGGCAUUCUAUAAAGCUAUCCCAUCCAAGACUUACGAUUCGACUAGAACCUUACCAAAAUCACCGUCUUCAAAUUGAUUCUGGAACUCCAGUCGCGAUUCAUUCGGUACGUAAAAACCUUCCGAAAGAAGACAUACUGGACUCCCUUAAACGUUUAGCAAAAAUAUUUCUUCCUUACUCGUUCCGACUGUCCUCUCGAACCGAUCUUCAACACUUCGUCGCAAGUAUGCAAGCAUUCUUAAAGCUAUCUUGCAUACGACAUACGCUGCAAUUGAAAACGGCUUCGAAAACAGGCGAAUACGGUUCACAGAAUCUUGCAUAAUCUUUAUUAAUGGUUUCCGUUCACAUCUCUUAGUCUUUGCAUCGCAAAUAACCGAGUUUUCUUACGAGCUAUCUCGUUUAUGUCUUAUGCUCCGACCAAGAUCUGGGCCCCAAACCACUGAAAAGAUUAAAAAAAAACAUACUAUCACAUUCAUACACACAAACACAACUUUGGUUGCAAACACGUUUCAAACGUUGCAAAUACGUUGGGCGCCAUUUGAAAUGAGAGGCAAUAGGUAGGUUUGAUAAGGAAGGGAUUUAGGAUAGGAUAGGAGCGCGGAGGAUUCAAUGACCAGCCCAUAAGGGUAGGCCAGAACUAGGAUGGGAUAAGGGGUACGGGAGUUGGGAUAGAAUGUCCACUACGAAGGCGAUGGCAUGCUCGCGAUGCUCGGCUAAGCUCGCCGGAUGAGGGGGGGAUCUUACCCUCGUAGAUGGACCUCACCUCUUUCCAAAACUAAAAUUUCAUGCCAUUACACAAAAACUUAAACGAUCCCAAAACAAGACGAUUACAAUACCACAUAACUCUAAAGAAACAAAAACAUAUACCGACUUACACACUACAACCAAAACACGACUUCCAAGCUAGCACUACAAGUAAAGAACACCAAACACAAGACAACCUACACACCGCCACCAGACACAGAACUAUCGACACACUACGACCGACACACCAUCACCAGACACACCAACACCAGACACACCAUCACCAGACACACCAUCACCAAACAGCACUACGUUCACGCUCGACCUGACACACUAUCACCGGAUAACACGACAUUCACGCCGGACCUGACACACCUCGGGAACGCUGCGGCUGUUGUUGCAGCAUGGCCGUACCCACCCAACCUGGAGUUCGACUGGCCUUUACUUUCGAACUCCCCUUACUAGUCUUUGAAGCUGAAGUUUACGUUGUAGAACCCGGUUCACUGAAGAGCAUUAUCCAGCCCUACCACACCUCCUCUGAAAAUUGUAAUCAGCACUCCAUAAUAUUUAAGUUCUGAACACCAAAAGUUGAUAAAAUCAAAAAAUAACACAACAAAUCGACUACACUGUAACGUGACUUACAUUUUAUUUAAAUAGACUUGUAACAAACAAAAAUGGAAUAUAUAAAAAAAAAUAUAAAGGAUAAUUUCGAAAUUUGAAAAUUAGAAAAUUGGUAAAUUUAAAAGAAAUUGAAAAUUUGAAAUAACUUAAAUAUAAAAAAAUCAAAGGAAAACACAGACUUUCUCCUCAGAAGUAUAUAUGUACCUAGUGUACCUAAUCCAAAAACAAACAAAAAAACAGGGACUUUCUCCGUAUGGAGGAGACUUAAGUUCCCUUGUUCUCCCCGGAAAUCUACGCCGUCUUCCUUUUAUGAAGCAGCUGUAUAAAUUCCUCUUUUAUCCUACCUACCAAGAGCUCUCUAUAGGUAGCUAAAGGGAUGCAAAAUGUUGCCUCUACUUUGACAGGGAGGGGUAUGGGGAACCUACGCCGCCCCGACGAACUUUACCCGUAAUGCUUACUCGACACUAACAAAAAAUAACGACGCACUCUAGACACAUAUACCGAUACAAGGAGUUACAAAAUAAAGUCGUUAUAAAUUUGAAUAUUUGUUGUUUCAAUGUCACGUUACUAAUUUUUCCUUUGUUAUUUGUUGGACAGCUAGGUAUACGUAUAUAUCUAUAUAUAUAUAUAAGCAAAUCCUAGAAUCGAUUCGCCAGGAACCGAAUCCUUUUCUCCUAUCCCGCCGGAUUGGCGUAAAUGUUAACGAGAAUGCACAACGAUAUAUAUAUAUAUAUGUAUAUGUAGUUAAAACUUAUAUAAAUAUAGGGGUGAGAUUGGUUUUGGCUAGUAAAGUUACUUGGUGAUCCGGGUCUCUCGACGGAUCAAUCUUAUGUUAAGCACAACCUCCACAUCACCUUGGGAAUGAAAUUUUCUUGCUCUAGGACUGUCGGUCACUCCUACGCCAACCACCGCGCCGGCCGCCAAAACUCAAUCUCACCUCAGCUAUUAUUUUAAAUAUUUUUCCUCUUUAUGGAUUUAUCUGCUUUCUUUCUUCACUGAACAUAUAUUAGUCGUUACAAAAAAACUUAUACAAAAAAACCUAUUUCCUUUUUUUUCUUAAGUUUUUUUUUUUUUUUUUUUUUUACUUCUUUUGUUUUAUGCCACUUUUAAAUUUAAAUACAUAGAUGCUUUCGUCACCCACUCUGAACUACAAAUGACUUCUAGUCAAGUUCCUUUAGCGGUUACGAUCUUCAAUUACCGCAUAGAUUAUUAUUUCCCGCAAUGUUCACAAAACUACUCUUUCAGCAUCGUCUGGACCCUUGCUUUAAAGCUUAAUUUCACUCCUAUCUAAUCCUUUCUUAUUUUCCCCACCUUUCCCAAUUCGCAUAAACUUUUCAUUAAAUAUUUAAUAUUAAGGGUAUUGUUGUUUCUUUCAUACCUAUAAACAUAUAUCCGUCGCUUCUGCAAUUUCUUCGUCCUCCUUUUAUACCAUCUUCUUAAUCCCUAUUCUUUACUUCUGUCUCUUUUUCAUGACAUAUGUCUAUUUCGUCCCUAAUUGUCAUGUCAGAUUGUCAGUGAUUCGAAUUACGAAAUAGAAGUUGCGUGCGCCGCGCCGGUAAAUAAAUAAACAUAAAAAAACAAGUAUUAGGAAAAACACAAAACUAAAAAUAAAUUAACUAAUUGCACUGGAUGCAAACCAGAGUCACUAGGAAUAGUGACUAACCUAGGACAACUUUGGCCUAUCGGUGGCCACAACA